UUGGAGGGCAAGUCUGGUGCCAGCAGCCGCGGUAAUUCCAGCUCCAAUAGCGUAUAUUAAAGUUGUUGCAGUUAAAAAGCUCGUAGUUGAAUUUCGGGAUCAGUAUGUUGGUCGUGCUUCGGUACGUACUGUCAUUACUGGUUUCUCCCUUCUGAAGAACCUUGAUGUCAUUAAUUUGGUGUCUUGGGGAAUCAGGACUGUUACUUUGAAAAAAUUAGAGUGUUUAAAGCAGGCAUACGCUUGAAUACAUUAGCAUGGAAUAAUGAAAUAGGACGUUUGAUUCUAUUUUGUUGGUUUCUAGGAUCGACGUAAUGAUUAAUAGGGAUAGUUGGGGGCAUUAGUAUUCAAUUGUCAGAGGUGAAAUUCUUGGAUUUAUUGAAGACUAACUACUGCGAAAGCAUUUGCCAAGGAUGUUUUCAUUAAUCAAGAACGAAAGUUAGGGGAUCGAAGACGAUCAGAUACCGUCGUAGUCUUAACCAUAAACUAUGCCGACUAGGGAUCGGAUGAUGUUAUUUUUAAUGACUCAUUCGGCGCCUUACGGGAAACCAAAGUGUUUGGGUUC
RNAcentral lists this ribosomal RNA (562 nucleotides) under uncultured Glomus. RNAcentral's name for it is "SSU rRNA". It matches the Rfam family "Eukaryotic small subunit ribosomal RNA", at positions 548 to 1114 of the family's 1831-position model. RNAcentral also lists the same sequence under 1 other name. The record is from RNAcentral. Lineage: Eukaryota; Fungi; Glomeromycota; Glomeromycetes; Glomerales; Glomeraceae.